Molecule: ribosomal RNA, 488 nt
Filed under: Bifidobacterium pseudolongum subsp. pseudolongum
Lineage: Bacteria; Bacillati; Actinomycetota; Actinomycetes; Bifidobacteriales; Bifidobacteriaceae
Description: bacterial SSU rRNA
Rfam family: Bacterial small subunit ribosomal RNA
Source: RNAcentral
CGCUGGCGGCGUGCUUAACACAUGCAAGUCGAACGGGAUCCCUGGCAGCUUGCUGCCGGGGUGAGAGUGGCGAACGGGUGAGUAAUGCGUGACCGACCUGCCCCAUGCACCGGAAUAGCUCCUGGAAACGGGUGGUAAUGCCGGAUGUUCCACAUGAGCGCAUGCGAGUGUGGGAAAGGCUUUUGCGGCAUGGGAUGGGGUCGCGUCCUAUCAGCUUGUUGGUGGGGUAACGGCCUACCAAGGCGUUGACGGGUAGCCGGCCUGAGAGGGCGACCGGCCACAUUGGGACUGAGAUACGGCCCAGACUCCUACGGGAGGCAGCAGUGGGGAAUAUUGCACAAUGGGCGCAAGCCUGAUGCAGCGACGCCGCGUGCGGGAUGGAGGCCUUCGGGUUGUAAACCGCUUUUGUUCAAGGGCAAGGCAGGUUUUUGGCCUGUUGAGUGGAUUGUUCGAAUAAGCACCGGCUAACUACGUGCCAGCAGCCGCGG